RNAcentral lists this ribosomal RNA (253 nucleotides) under uncultured bacterium. Its description in RNAcentral is "partial 16S ribosomal RNA". It matches the Rfam family "Bacterial small subunit ribosomal RNA", at positions 524 to 776 of the family's 1533-position model. The record is from RNAcentral.
UACGGAGGGGGCUAGCGUUGUUCGGAAUUACUGGGCGUAAAGCGCGCGCAGGUGGUCUUUCAAGUCAGUGGUGAAAGCCCGGAGCUCAACUCCGGAACUGCCAUUGAAACUGUGAGACUUGAGGACGAGAGAGGUGAGUGGAAUUCCCAGUGUAGAGGUGAAAUUCGUAGAUAUUGGGAAGAACACCGGUGGCGAAGGCGGCUCACUGGCUCGUUUCUGACGCUCAGGCGCGACAGCGUGGGGAUCAAACAGG